UUCAAAGCUGUUAUACGCAUUUAUCUCCACUCCUUGCUUGAACCCAAAGCGCCGCUCAUACCCUUUGGGUUUUGGCCUUCACAAUGGAUGCAGCGACCCAAGACAUGAGACAGCGACGACGUCGGACGAGGCAUCUCCGAUGGAUGGCGAGUAUAGGAGGAAAGAUAAGCACUUGAAUAAGGUUGAUGCUGCAGAUGAUGGAGAUGUGCGCGCAUCUGCCUAGUGUUGCCCUCAAAGGGAUGGGGGACGAAUCAGAGGAGCAAUUGAAGGUUCUGCAGCAGCAUGCGACUGAGCUGGAGGCGGAAGCCGUCGCCUUAGGAGGCAUUGGAGAGGGAGAAGAGUAUGCUGGAAGAGGAUGUGAGCAAGUUCCAUGAGAUGAUUGAGAAUCUCGACAAUAAUGUGAAGAAAGUGCAGAAAUUUUUGUUGGGAAAGAGAAGGCAUUGGAGGCCAAGAGGGAAGAGAAGAAGAGGAUUUUACAGGAGAAUGAGGAGUUGAAGAAGAGAGCCUAAUCGCGGUGUUUUAACAAGAGGGAUGUGGAGAGAAUGAAGAGGGAAUUGCAGGCUGUGGAGAAGAAGGUUUAGGAUUUGGAUAACAAGCUUGGCCCACAGGUUAAGGAGUUGUUGGAGGCUUUAGCCAUGGAGUGCAACCAAAUCAUGACGAGAGCAUAGGCGUGUUGCACAUAUUUUACUUCACUCAGUAAGAGGAGCCACAUAAUACUCCCACAGGUGAUCAGAGAAGUUCGCCAAGAGACAUAAAUUCAAAGUGUUAGAAGGCAACUCAGGAUGGAACGAAGGGCACCCAGGAUGAAAUAAUGGCUGUUAUGAUUUAUGAAGGUUGCCUUGGAUUUUACUUUUUGGCCACAAGAGUGAUCAUUGACAAAAACAAUUUAUCUUAAUUAUAAAUUUUCAUAUAUUUUUUUUUUGGUUAAAAUAUUGGCCGUUACCUUUGUUCAAGUUGAUGUGUAUCUAUUAAAAUAAUAUUUGAAUGAAGUCACCAAUUGCACAUCUGAUUUUGC
Molecule: long non-coding RNA, 1015 nt
Organism: Rosa rugosa (rugosa rose)
Lineage: Eukaryota; Viridiplantae; Streptophyta; Magnoliopsida; Rosales; Rosaceae
Exons: 4
Source: RefSeq, a predicted model, not a curated record